RNAcentral lists this ribosomal RNA (253 nucleotides) under uncultured bacterium. Its description in RNAcentral is "partial 16S ribosomal RNA". It matches the Rfam family "Bacterial small subunit ribosomal RNA", at positions 524 to 776 of the family's 1533-position model. The record is from RNAcentral.
UACGUAGGGGGCGAGCGUUGUCCGGAUUUAUUGGGCGUAAAGAGCGUGUAGGCGGCCAGGUAGGUCUGCUGUGAAAACUCGAGGCUCAACCUCGAGACGUCGGCGGAAACCAUCUGGCUAGAGUCCGGAAGAGGAGAGUGGAAUUCCUGGUGUAGCGGUGAAAUGCGCAGACAUCAGGAAGAACACCCGUGGCGAAGGCGGCUCUCUGGGACGGUACUGACGCUGAGACGCGAAAGCGUGGGGAGCGAACAGG